Molecule: ribosomal RNA, 500 nt
Filed under: uncultured bacterium
Lineage: Bacteria
Description: bacterial SSU rRNA
Rfam family: Bacterial small subunit ribosomal RNA
Source: RNAcentral
AGUUUGAUCCUGGCUCAGAUUGAACGCUGGCGGCAUGCCUUACACAUGCAAGUCGAACGGUAACGCGGGGCAACCUGGCGACGAGUGGCGAACGGGUGAGUAAUGCAUCGGAACGUGCCCAGUAGUGGGGAUAGCUCGACGAAAGUCGAAUUAAUACCGCAUACGACCUAAGGGUNAAAGGGGGGGGAUCGCAAGACCUCUCGCUAUUGGAGCGGCCGAUGUCAGAUUAGGUAGUUGGUAGGGUAAAAGCCUACCAAGCCUAUGAUCUGUAGCUGGUCUGAGAGGACGACCAGCCACACUGGGACUGAGACACGGCCCAGACUCCUACGGGAGGCAGCAGUGGGGAAUUUUGGACAAUGGGCGCAAGCCUGAUCCAGCCAUGCCGCGUGCGGGAAGAAGGCCUUCGGGUUGUAAACCGCUUUUGUCAGGGAAGAAAAGCGCCAGGUUAAUACCUUGGCGUCAUGACGGUACCUGAAGAAUAAGCACCGGCUAACUACGUG